AUCUACGACCAUAGAAAGAGGAACAAAGGGUAUCCCGUCCGCUCUGCCUUACUCAAGCCUCUUAUCGAUCAGCCAGUAGUGUAGUCGGAGAUGAUAUGCGAAUCCUGAUUGUUGUAGAUC
This 120-nucleotide ribosomal RNA is filed under the name Orbilia oligospora ATCC 24927. The record is from RNAcentral. Lineage: Eukaryota; Fungi; Ascomycota; Orbiliomycetes; Orbiliales; Orbiliaceae.